This 77-nucleotide transfer RNA is filed under the name Paroceanicella profunda. Its description in RNAcentral is "Paraoceanicella profunda tRNA-Ile". It matches the Rfam family "tRNA". From Rfam's summary of the family: Transfer RNA (tRNA) molecules are approximately 80 nucleotides in length. Their secondary structure includes four short double-helical elements and three loops (D, anti-codon, and T loops). The record is from RNAcentral. Lineage: Bacteria; Pseudomonadati; Pseudomonadota; Alphaproteobacteria; Rhodobacterales; Paracoccaceae.
GGGUCGGUAGCUCAGGUGGUUAGAGCGCACGCCUGAUAAGCGUGAGGUCGGAGGUUCAAAUCCUCCUCGACCCACCA